Molecule: unclassified non-coding RNA, 221 nt
Filed under: plant metagenome
Description: partial contains small subunit ribosomal RNA, internal transcribed spacer 1, and 5.8S ribosomal RNA
Source: RNAcentral
CGUAGGUGAACCUGCGGAAGGAUCAUUAGUGAAUUGAAUAUGUUAGCGGACCUCUUCGGAGUCCCUAGCAUCAAAUCAUAUCCAUAACACCUGUGAACUGUAAGGCUGUCUUGAAAACGAAAGUGAUUAGAGCGCCUGCCCAUUUUAUACGAACAUUAAAGUAACAAACGUAGUCUUAUUAUAAUCUAAUAAAACUUUCAACAACGGAUCUCUUGGCUCUC